This is a long non-coding RNA of Saccostrea cuccullata (small rock oyster), 618 nucleotides long. RefSeq lists it as uncharacterized. The record is from RefSeq and is a predicted model, not a curated record. NCBI's taxonomy places the organism in Eukaryota, Metazoa, Mollusca, Bivalvia, Ostreida, Ostreidae. The transcript is spliced from 5 exons.
AAAAAUGUAGGACUACAUGUUGUAUAUGCUAAUAUCUUUUUGUAUGCUGUACUGACAGUCCUCAACCUGGAAGAUAUGUUUUAUUCCUAACCAUCUAUAAUCCAUUCUCUAUGAAGUUCAGCCUGUCUGCCCAAAUUCCUUUGGAAAUACAUAGUUAGUCAACCAACAUAGAAACAAUCAAACUUGAAGUCCUCAACCUGGAAGAUAUGUUUUAUUCCUAACCAUCUAUAAUCCAUUCUCUAUGAAGUUCAGCCUGUCUGCCCAAAUUCCUUUGGAAAUACAUAGUUAGUCAACCAACAUAGAAACAAUCAAACUUGAAGUCAUCAACAUGGAAGAUAUGUUUUGUUCCUAACCAUCUGCAAUCAAUUCUCUAUGAAGUUCAGACUGUCUGCUCUUCCUUUGGAAAUACACAGUUAGUCAAUCAACAUAGAAACACACAAACUUGAAGGAUUCUCUAGUGAGAGGUUAUGGAAAUGAUCUAUGUCUACUCUUAGAAUGGUGAAAGACUCUCAGAUUAUGCAAAGACUAACAGAAUAUCCUCUCUUGGAACACUGAAACAAGAAAACCAAACUUAAGAGGAUGGAGGAUUUAAGAAGAACAUAAAGAUGAUUUCCAUCG